Molecule: long non-coding RNA, 212 nt
Filed under: Musa acuminata (dwarf banana)
Lineage: Eukaryota; Viridiplantae; Streptophyta; Magnoliopsida; Zingiberales; Musaceae
Description: long non-coding RNA (MACU_LNC010710)
Source: RNAcentral
GAUUCUAAAACUUCUGAAUUAGUAGUUGAAAGUAUUAUGCAUGUUUAUGAAAGAAUGUAAAUAUUUGUUUGACCAUGGGUCCUAUCUACGAUUUGAUUCGUAAUAUUUUGCUUAUCACUUGGGUAUGCAACCUAGACCAUUGCAUUAUGUGCUAUAUGUAAAUAUGAUCAUUGGAGAUUCUUUGAUAACGAACUUGAAUCUGGUCCUCUUGU